ACCUAGGGUAGAGGUGCUGUAGUUAAGAGUAUUUAUUUGGAGUCGGUAGGCGUUGAUAAAUUAAAAAAGGAGUUACAGCCGAAGAAUAUAAGCCGACAGGAUUAUAUUCUGGCCUUACAUAAAAUAUAUGGAAGGUUGUCACUGAUGAAAUGCAAUAAUAUGCAUUGAGUGGAGAGCUACAGGGUAC
RNAcentral lists this non-coding RNA (187 nucleotides) under Clostridium pasteurianum. RNAcentral's name for it is "Lysine sequence". It matches the Rfam family "Lysine riboswitch aptamer". Rfam says of the family: Riboswitches are metabolite binding domains within certain messenger RNAs that serve as precision sensors for their corresponding targets. RNAcentral also lists the same sequence under 1 other name. The record is from RNAcentral. Lineage: Bacteria; Bacillati; Bacillota; Clostridia; Eubacteriales; Clostridiaceae.